GGGGAAUUUUCCGCAAUGGGCGCAAGCCUGACGGAGCAAUACCGCGUGAGGGAGGAAGGCUUUUGGGUUGUAAACCUCUUUUCUCAAGGAAGAAGAUCUGACGGUACUUGAGGAAUCAGCAUCGGCUAACUCCGUGCCAGCAGCCGCGGUAAUACGGAGGAUGCAAGCGUUAUCCGGAAUUAUUGGGCGUAAAGCGUCCGCAGGUGGUACAUCAAGUCUGCUGUCAAAGACUAGGGCUUAACCCUGGAAAGGCAGUGGAAACUGAUGAACUAGAGUACGGUAGGGGUAGAGGGAAUUCCCAGUGUAGCGGUGAAAUGCGUAGAGAUUGGGAAGAACACCAGUGGCGAAGGCGCUCUACUGGACCUGUACUGACACUCAGGGACGAAAGCUAGGGGAGCGAAAGGGAUUAGAUACCCCUGUAGUC
This 424-nucleotide ribosomal RNA is filed under the name uncultured cyanobacterium. RNAcentral describes it as "bacterial SSU rRNA". It matches the Rfam family "Bacterial small subunit ribosomal RNA", at positions 356 to 795 of the family's 1533-position model. Lineage: Bacteria; Bacillati; Cyanobacteriota. The record is from RNAcentral.